CUCUUCUUGGAUGAGUUGCGAACGGGUGAGUAACGCGUAGGUAACCUGCCUUGUAGCGGGGGAUAACUAUUGGAAACGAUAGCUAAUACCGCAUAACAAUGGAUGACACAUGUCAUUUAUUUGAAAGGGGCAAUUGCUCCACUACAAGAUGGACCUGCGUUGUAUUAGCUAGUAGGUGAGGUAACGGCUCACCUAGGCGACGAUACAUAGCCGACCUGAGAGGGUGAUCGGCCACACUGGGACUGAGACACGGCCCAGACUCCUACGGGAGGCAGCAGUAGGGAAUCUUCGGCAAUGGGGGCAACCCUGACCGAGCAACGCCGCGUGAGUGAAGAAGGUUUUCGGAUCGUAAAGCUCUGUUGUAAGUCAAGAACGAGUGUGAGAGUGGAAAGUUCACACUGUGACGGUAGCUUACCAGAAAGGGACGGCUAACUACGUGCCAGCAGCCGCGGUAAUACGUAGGUCCCGAGCGUUGUCCGGAUUUAUUGGGCGUAAAGCGAGCGCAGGCGGUUUGAUAAGUCUGAAGUUAAAGGCUGUGGCUCAACCAUAGUUCGCUUUGGAAACUGUCAAACUUGAGUGCAGAAGGGGAGAGUGGAAUUCCAUGUGUAGCGGUGAAAUGCGUAGAUAUAUGGAGGAACACCGGUGGCGAAAGCGGCUCUCUGGUCUGUAACUGACGCUGAGGCUCGAAAGCGUGGGGAGCGAACAGGAUUAGAUACCCUGGUAGUCCACGCCGUAAACGAUGAGUGCUAGGUGUUGGAUCCUUUCCGGGAUUCAGUGCCGCAGCUAACGCAUUAAGCACUCCGCCUGGGGAGUACGACCGCAAGGUUGAAACUCAAAGGAAUUGACGGGGGCCCGCACAAGCGGUGGAGCAUGUGGUUUAAUUCGAAGCAACGCGAAGAACCUUACCAGGUCUUGACAUCCCGAUGCUAUUUCUAGAGAUAGAAAGUUACUUCGGUACAUCGGUGACAGGUGGUGCAUGGUUGUCGUCAGCUCGUGUCGUGAGAUGUUGGGUUAAGUCCCGCAACGAGCGCAACCCCUAUUGUUAGUUGCCAUCAUUCAGUUGGGCACUCUAGCGAGACUGCCGGUAAUAAACCGGAGGAAGGUGGGGAUGACGUCAAAUCAUCAUGCCCCUUAUGACCUGGGCUACACACGUGCUACAAUGGUUGGUACAACGAGUUGCGAGUCGGUGACGGCAAGCUAAUCUCUUAAAGCCAAUCUCAGUUCGGAUUGUAGGCUGCAACUCGCCUACAUGAAGUCGGAAUCGCUAGUAAUCGCGGAUCAGCACGCCGCGGUGAAUACGUUCCCGGGCCUUGUACACACCGCCCGUCACACCACGAGAGUUUGUAACACC
This 1351-nucleotide ribosomal RNA is filed under the name Streptococcus salivarius. RNAcentral describes it as "bacterial SSU rRNA". It matches the Rfam family "Bacterial small subunit ribosomal RNA", at positions 81 to 1421 of the family's 1533-position model. Lineage: Bacteria; Bacillati; Bacillota; Bacilli; Lactobacillales; Streptococcaceae. The record is from RNAcentral.